This 301-nucleotide unclassified non-coding RNA is filed under the name Glomeraceae sp. RNAcentral's name for it is "partial contains 5.8S ribosomal RNA and internal transcribed spacer 2". The stretch from base 1 to 71 matches the Rfam family "5.8S ribosomal RNA", at positions 84 to 154 of the family's 154-position model. Lineage: Eukaryota; Fungi; Glomeromycota; Glomeromycetes; Glomerales; Glomeraceae. The record is from RNAcentral.
GUGAAUCAUCAAAUCUUUGAACGCAAGUUGCGCUUCCUAGCAUCCCGGGAAGUAUGCCUGUUUGAGGGUCAGCAUUAACAAAAAAAUCGGUUUGGUUGCAAAUUGUGACGUUUCCGGAGUUUGGGCUAUCUUAACUUUUUUGGUUAAGGGGCUUAACAUUGACCUUUUUUGCGCAUUUUUCGACGUACAUAAAUUUUUUUUUAUUCGUCUAUUCUUAGUGCCAAAAUCUUAUUAGAUGCGAUCACAUCGUGUGGUUUCUUGUCCAUAAAAUUUUCAUGAUUUUACCUCAAUUUAGUUAGGG